This 2427-nucleotide small RNA is filed under the name Galendromus occidentalis (western predatory mite). Its description in RNAcentral is "uncharacterized LOC100898607". The record is from RNAcentral. Lineage: Eukaryota; Metazoa; Arthropoda; Arachnida; Mesostigmata; Phytoseiidae.
ACUAUUCGACGGCAGAUCUUCGCAAACGGUUGAGCUGUCGUGCUCUGUUGUUCGGACCGCUUCAGAUGAAACUUGUUGCAUUCUCUGGAGCGACAUCACUCACGGAUUAGGUGUCCAGUGUUUUGUUUGUGUUCGAACGAUACGCGUACGUCUAUGCAUUGGGUCAGCUCAACCAACGAUCCGACCAUGAAGUACUUCGGGACCAUGGCUGUCUGUUGUUUGGAGAUGAUGGGAGAGGAACAGAGUCCAGUCAUGAGUCACAGAGCCACAAACGUAGUCUCCGGGGUCGGAAUGGGCGGCAUCGGUAUCGCGAGAAUGAGGAAUUCUCAUUCCUCACAAGAUGUAGCCUCAAUCACAAAUGAACAGGACUACUGGGCCUACGGUCCAGGCAUCGUCGACAGACUCAAGUCAAAAUUCAUCAAUCUUUCGCUGAACCAGGCUCAAGCCGGAGCUGCCGUUCUCUCGGCCGCAACGAAACGAAGCAAUAUGCGAACAUGCACCUCACUAGAAAAUCUUCAAGAUAAUAACGCUCCGUACAAAGCAAAUCCAGUCAAUACGACACACAAGCUGCUCAUGACAUCCCCAGCGAACAUGAGAGAUCCAAAGAAGUUCGUCCCAAAGAGUCCGUCCAUGGAAAUACUCCUCGACUCAACGCGCAAUCACGGUCCGCCCACGAUUCGAUGUGUUGUGAGCUCUUCGAUAAGUUCGGUCGUCGAAAGCGAACUUCCUCGUAGAGAUACGGUGCGCAAGUACAAAACCUUUUUCGAGCAGAGCUCUUCACCCCAGCAUCAGAGCAGCUCGGUUUCGCCCCCUACCAAGAUGAAUAAUACCUUAUCUUCUUCUUUUCCCGCCUAGCCCACUGGGAUUCUGAAAACCAAAACGUCCCCUGUGAAGAAGCCGGUAGCCAAUAUCAAACCUCUUCUCAAAGAACCGGAACCCGAGCGACGAGACAGUCCUCCCUUGAGCAAGACGAAAGAAGUAACUACGCAAGCCGUCCAAGACGCCGUCCUGAACGAGAUCAAUCUGCAAUCGAAUGGCUACCAAGACAUUAUGAGUAUCGGAUGCGCAGUGGAUACCAAAGUUUCCACCCCGAUCGCACCGCGCACCACUUCCGUCGUGGUCAAGCCCCGAGCUUGUCCCCUGCUGCUCAGUGAGAGCAACUCGAGACCUCAACCAGUAUCCUCGGCGACGUCGAUGGGGAGCUCGAUGGUUUUCGAUUUCCGAGGGAAAGACGUCAAGCCCCAGGUGGCAGUCAUGCCGUCACCGAUAAGGAUCUCUCGCGAAGAGCUCGACGGACCUUCGGAGGACGGUCAAGAGCCGAGUGGUAUAACUUUCAUUGGCGAAAAUGUCGUCAUUGGCCGUGGAUCGUUGAUCUCAACCAGAAACAAGAAUCUCUCGAUACGAUUCGACGAUGACAACCUCUCGUCGAUGUUCGAGUACGAAGCCGAAGAUGACGACACGGAACCGGAAGACGACGAUAUCGGAGCCAAAGGUCUACCGAGUGCAGCCCUUGGGAAUUACAAACCAAAUGCUCUGGACGAAGACGACUUCCAGCUAGGUGUUUCGCGACUGCGGCGGGAGCAACUGCUGACAAGCGAGUCGACAUCGCAGCCCGCUGAGCUUCAGAGCGAGGCUGCCGAGGACGAGUUUCGACCCGCUUCGCAAGACGAGACCUCGACCUACUCGCAGGUCGGGAGCUCGGAUCUCCUGUUCUAGAAUUGUGACACUCGGUGUCGCAUCGACGAGCGAGAAAUGCCAAAAAUUCACAGGCGACGGACUGCCAGCCUUGUGUACAAUAGUCAUCCUUGAUGUAUAUCUCAUCCAGUAGAUACAUAGUGAUCGCUUGUGGAAGAGUUUCGAGAAACAGAUGGCGUCGAGGCGAUCAUUCAGUAGCAACCGAAGGAUCGAGGCGUUGCGCUUCGGCUGAUGUCCCUAGGGUACUCGCUAGGUACAUUGAGACGGAACGUCGACUGCCCCACCACCCGGCUUCCCUGUAGCCUGGCCCAAGUUCGCUCGCUCCGGGCGAGAAUUCCUGGUUUCACGGCCUGCUGGUUGAAGGAAUUAUUGUGAGAGGGGACCCCCAGGUCACAACAGUGAUAUCUCUGCAUUCCUGUACUAAUCCCGGAACGUCUUUUCGGUCUGAAAGGAGGAAUUCGGAACGCGGGAAAGAUUGACGCAGUAUCUGAGUAGCUUUACCCCCGUCCUGAGAACGAUCGGAAGCUCAUAUCAAUCAAGGAAUUUGUCGAUCCAGAAAGCGAUCAAUCAAUCAAUCGAACAUCCGGAUGAAUCUGUUGAUUGGGAAAGCCUAGCCUAAAAGGAGGAAAUUGUGGAUCCGCAUGAACGCGAAUUUCGAAUGGUAAAUUAUCGAGGAGCAACUUGACUGAGAGGUGACGUCCGCUUCCUUAAAAGGAACAAUCAAUUGACUCU